UGUUCUAUGGCCGAACUGGUAAAGGCAUUGCCGAUCACAGGCAAGAUUGCGGGUUCGAGUCCCACUGGAACGG
This 73-nucleotide transfer RNA is filed under the name Operophtera brumata (winter moth). It matches the Rfam family "tRNA". From Rfam's summary of the family: Transfer RNA (tRNA) molecules are approximately 80 nucleotides in length. Their secondary structure includes four short double-helical elements and three loops (D, anti-codon, and T loops). The record is from Rfam by way of RNAcentral. Lineage: Eukaryota; Metazoa; Arthropoda; Insecta; Lepidoptera; Geometridae.